This 731-nucleotide ribosomal RNA is filed under the name uncultured eukaryote. RNAcentral describes it as "SSU rRNA". It matches the Rfam family "Eukaryotic small subunit ribosomal RNA", at positions 671 to 1426 of the family's 1831-position model. The record is from RNAcentral.
GGUGUGUACUGGUCUUGAUGGAAGCUUACCUCUUGGUGGGUCGGCAUGCCCUUCGUUGGGUGUGUCGAUUAACCAGGACUUUUACUUUGAGAAAAUUAGAGUGUUCAAAGCAGGCUUUCGCCCGAAUACAUUAGCAUGGAAUAAUAGAAUAGGACGCGCGUCUUUAUUUUGUUGGUUUCUAAAUUCGCCGUAAUGAUUAAUAGGGAUAGUCGGGGGCAUUCGUAUUGCUUGGUCAGAGGUGAAAUUCUUGGAUUCUAGCAAGACGAACUACUGCGAAAGCAUUUGCCAAGGAUGUUUUCAUUGAUCAAGAACGAAGGUUAGGGGAUCGAAAACGAUCAGAUACCGUUGUAGUCUUAACAGUAAACUAUGCCGACUAGGGAUCGGACAAGCACAAUCUAUGACUUGUUCGGCACCUGAAGAGAAAUCUUUAAGUCUAGGUUCGGGGGGGAGUAUGGUCGCAAGGCUGAAACUUAAAGGAAUUGACGGAAGGGCACCACCAGGUGUGGAGCCUGCGGCUUAAUUUGACUCAACACGGGGAAACUCACCAGGUCCAGACACAAUAAGGAUUGACAGAUUGAUAGCUCUUUCUUGAUCUUGUGGCUGGUGGUGCAUGGCCGUUCUUAGUUGGUGGAGUGAUUUGUCUGGUUAAUUCCGAUAACGAACGAGACCUUAACCUGCUAAAUAGACCCGGGGCCUUAGGGAACCGGCUGUCUUCUUAGAGGGACUGUAGG